RNAcentral lists this ribosomal RNA (468 nucleotides) under uncultured bacterium. RNAcentral describes it as "partial 16S ribosomal RNA". It matches the Rfam family "Bacterial small subunit ribosomal RNA", at positions 28 to 507 of the family's 1533-position model. The record is from RNAcentral.
GACGAACGCUGGCGGCGUGCUUAACACAUGCAAGUCGAACGGAAAGGCCCUGCUUUUGUGGGGUGCUCGAGUGGCGAACGGGUGAGUAACACGAGAGUAACCUGCCCUUGACUUUGGGAUAACUUAAGGAAACUGGGGCUAAUACCGGAUAGGAGCUCCUGCUGCAUGGGGGGGGUUGGAAAGUUUCGGCGGUUGGGGAUGGACUCGCGGCUUAUCAGCUUGUUGGUGGGGUAGUGGCUUACCAAGGCUUUGACGGGUAGCCGGCCUGAGAGGGUGACCGGCCACAUUGGGACUGAGAUACGGCCCAGACUCCUACGGGAGGCAGCAGUGGGGAAUAUUGCACAAUGGGCGGAAGCCUGAUGCAGCAACGCCGCGUGCGGGAUGACGGCCUUCGGGUUGUAAACCGCUUUCGCCUGUGACGAAGCGUGAGUGACGGUAAUAGGUAAAGAAGCACCGGCUAACUACGUG